RNAcentral lists this small RNA (88 nucleotides) under Brevibacillus brevis NBRC 100599. Its description in RNAcentral is "BsrC". It matches the Rfam family "BsrC". Rfam says of the family: The 301 nucleotide sequence from Kouji Nakamura has been trimmed to a highly conserved ~85 nucleotide long core to form this family. The record is from Rfam by way of RNAcentral. Lineage: Bacteria; Bacillati; Bacillota; Bacilli; Caryophanales; Paenibacillaceae.
AAAACCUAAAACAAUGAAAGCCCUUCCUCUCUUCCAUCCUUGCGGCUCCGAUGACCGCGCCAGUGUGAAUCGGGGAUCCAAAAAUGUU